RNAcentral lists this long non-coding RNA (1083 nucleotides) under Oreochromis niloticus (Nile tilapia). RNAcentral's name for it is "lncRNA (ENSONIG00000035351.1)". Lineage: Eukaryota; Metazoa; Chordata; Actinopteri; Cichliformes; Cichlidae. The record is from RNAcentral.
CUGGGUUUCUGCCCUGUAGUUCUUAAUGUGGUCCCUGCAUGUAUCCCUGCAUAUUUCUUCUUAUAAUUCCGAUUGUUCUGAGCUUACUUUGGAUUUUGGAGUUUCUUUCACUGCUCUAUUUGUUUUGGACUUAAUCAGCUUCAAUUAAGGUCGCACCUUUUUUCUGUCAAAUUUGUCUUAGAAGUCUGCAUUUGGGUCACCCACUUUCACCCACUUCCACCUUAUGGCACCUGCAGUUUGUGUCAGUUUGCUCACACAGACACUACAAUACAAUGCAUCAUUUCCACACCCUCUGGACUCCAAGUGGACUUGAAAAAAGUGCAGUUGUCCAUAAUGCAUUAAUGGCAAAUGCAGAACAGCUUCCUGCUCGCAGCUCAGGAGCUCAUCCAAGUAGACAUGAUGGGAUCUGCUCUGUCCUACAACAAUGGUGUGCAGUUCAAGCUCCGCUGACGACAUUCGACCCUCCAGUGCGGGCUGCGUGUGAGCCAGGACGAGAGUGACAGGGACUGGUUGAGAAAUGGCAGUCGACACAGGGGUCAUGGAGCCAAAGGGCCAUGAAGAGAGUCGCAGGGAUGACGAAAACACAGCCAGGGUGAUGGAGGAUAACCAGAAGAAAGGGCAACUUCACCAGGUAGCAUGUGGGUCUCUCGCAUGCUCCCAUGCUCCGUCUUCCUAUAUUUCAUUCUUCCACACCUGACUCGGCCUCCCUCUGCCCCCACACCCUUUCUUUUCUGUUCUGCACUUUCUCUCUUCCUUUCUCUCCUUCUCCUUUGCUCGCUCUACUGCUCCGUUGGCUUCGAGCGAUGCUGUCCGUUCCCCCCUCUCACUCUGUGAUGGAGGGAUGGUUUGUGGAGUGAAGGCGCGAUGAAGCGAUGGAGGCCUUCAGCACAAGGAAAAAUUUCCUUCCACUUGCAGCUAUUACGCUCCCUAAAUAUCAGUUUUAAUAAUUAUUAACUGGCUGAAAGUAAGACUUGUAAAAACACAACAGCCACAUUUGUGUUAAAAUAAAGGGCCAGCUAACAUUUUCUCUCAUACCUGUAGCCAUGGAGUUUUAGCUGUGCAGAUCAAUCUGUUGAAUUUUAU